This 301-nucleotide ribosomal RNA is filed under the name uncultured bacterium. RNAcentral describes it as "partial 16S ribosomal RNA". It matches the Rfam family "Bacterial small subunit ribosomal RNA", at positions 509 to 807 of the family's 1533-position model. The record is from RNAcentral.
CAGCCGCCGCGGUAAAACAGAGGGUGCAAGCGUUAAUCGGAAUUACUGGGCGUAAAGCGCGCGUAGGUGGUUUGUUAAGUUGGAUGUGAAAGCCCCGGGCUCAACCUGGGAACUGCAUCCAAAACUGGCAAGCUAGAGUACGGUAGAGGGUGGUGGAAUUUCCUGUGUAGCGGUGAAAUGCGUAGAUAUAGGAAGGAACACCAGUGGCGAAGGCGACCACCUGGACUGAUACUGACACUGAGGUGCGAAAGCGUGGGGAGCAAACAGGAUUAGAUACCCGCGUAGUCCCUGUCUCUUAUAC